Molecule: ribosomal RNA, 1110 nt
Filed under: Triticum aestivum (bread wheat)
Lineage: Eukaryota; Viridiplantae; Streptophyta; Magnoliopsida; Poales; Poaceae
Description: partial small subunit ribosomal RNA
Source: RNAcentral
AUGCAGCAGCUGGCCGUGAAAAGUUUGCUAGAUGAUUUUGAAACGCUGCCAUAUUAUUUUAUUGGGUCGAUGGCCAAGGUCCAUGGUGCGUCCGCGGUUGCAAUGAUACGCUACUGGUUGCCAAAGUUCCUGUAUCUAGCAAAUGCUGCUAUUGCUGAAAGAAAUACUUGUGUUCUCCCUACCAUUUGUGUGGCUCAGAAUGUGAUCUUGUAUCCCAGGACUAGCAAUCUAGCAUCUCAAGGCUUCAUCUGUCUUGUGCUCGGUUAUCUGUCAAUGACCGAGCAUAUGUGUAAUGUGGCUGAUUCCAAGGACAUGGUGCAAGCUCACAACCAUGGUAAUGGCAGAUUUCCGCCUCCUUGGGUGAUUGUUGCUAUCGCAGUUCUUGGUUUUGAUAAGAUCAUGAUGUUUCCGAGGUUUGUUGCUAUCGCAGUUCUUGGUUUUGAUAAGAUCAUGAUGUUUCCGAGGAAUCCUAUAUACAUGUUCUUUCUAUCUGUGGGUUUUUUACUUGCCAAAGCUUUGGCAGUGCAGCUAGAUAUUGACAGAGAAUUCCAAAAUGGAAUGUCACAACUGAUCAGCGGAUGCGACGACCUUAGGCUGCAGAAGCUCCGGAGUCACAGCAACCACCGUCCUCUUGGUUCAGAUUACCAAACGAUCGUUGGCUUGGAACAUUUUUUCAUGCCCAUGGGUGGGUGGGGUAAACAGAGACCGCAAUAUAGUAGUAGGCCUUCUAUCACCUCCGAGCAGUAUGUCUUUAAUCAUCUCCUACUAAUUAGCAAACGGUCAAUGACUUGGGAGCAAUUUCCCAUUCCCAUAGGUGGGGUAAACAGAGAAAGCACUGCACAGUUUUGUACUUGCCUUUGGUGUAUGGAUUAUGAAAACCUCAAGUUUAAUUUUUUUAAAGUUCGAAGGAAGUUUACAUUAGAAGUUCCAAAUUUUAGUUUUUUCAACUUUCUAUUAAUAAAGAUCAGUGGCUUGGAACAAUUUUUCACGCCCAUGGGUGGGUUAGUGCUAUGCUGCCAAAAGCUCAUCUCCUACAAGUACUGUAGCAACACCGGGCAAAAAGCUUUUGUCACCUACUAUCACACUGCAAAUCAUUGUCAGGACAUGUAG